Molecule: microRNA, 22 nt
Filed under: Meleagrid alphaherpesvirus 1 (Turkey herpesvirus)
Lineage: Duplodnaviria; Heunggongvirae; Peploviricota; Herviviricetes; Herpesvirales; Orthoherpesviridae
Description: hvt-miR-H11
Gene: hvt-miR-H11
Source: miRBase by way of RNAcentral
GGGAUGAAAUGGGCUUUACCAU